Manacus vitellinus (golden-collared manakin) is the source of this 949-nucleotide long non-coding RNA. RefSeq lists it as uncharacterized. The transcript is spliced from 3 exons. Lineage: Eukaryota; Metazoa; Chordata; Aves; Passeriformes; Pipridae. The record is from RefSeq and is a predicted model, not a curated record.
UGCAGAAAGACGGCUGGUCACGACUCCGGCCCUCAACUCCCUUUCCCUCAAGCGCUUCCGCAUGCAUCCUUAAAAAGAGGGAAAGCCACCUAGCCACCGGGGAGUGCUUGCACCUGGGCGAACCUCGGACUGCUGCAUGCCCGUCGGCUGGGAGGGUGCAUCCUCGCAGAAACACCACCCGGUCUUUUCGCGAAGGAAAGAUGUGUGUGAACCAUCCUCGUAGCUUCUAAAACCACUGAUCACCUUUGCAACCAUGACACCAUCUUCAGCGUCGGUGGAGCAUUCAUUAUACAAGCGACUUUCAGUCCUACGAGUCUGCAAGGCACUGGAAAGCUUCGGGUAGCGCUUUCCCAGCGGCCACCCGGGCUCGUGCUCUCCAUCCCUGACAGUCCCAGCUUCAGUGAAGCGCAUUUUAGGAAGGUCACGGGAGGACAGUUGGGCGUAACCUCAAGGUCCUGUUUCACAGGCACCGAUUUACUAAACUAGCCAACUCCCGGCUUGCUAAAGGAGAUUUUCAGAAAGUAGCUGCCGGUGGUCAAGAAUAAAAACGUGGAGGCAGUGCCGUCCCGACCGUUUCCCUCCGAUGCCACUAGAGAAAUCACCAACCUCUUGUGUAAAGGUCUUGUCUGGAUCCAAAAUGUUUAGUAGAUCCUCUUGUAUCUCCUCGUGGUUACAAAGGCUGAAAUUGUAAGUGGAUCCCCGUGGAAAGAAGGCGAUUUGAAUAAAGAUGAUCAAGCCACAAAGAACUGCGUAAGAAAAAGCCAAAGGUUAAUUCGCUACGUGACCCAACAAGGCUCGGAAGACAGAUCUGAAGAGAGAGAUGCCCGUGCUUCGGAAGCACUAGAGAAACUGUUUGGUUACCCUUGUGAUUAUCCAUGGUGUCUUUACACGUUGUUUUUCUCCUCCCAGGCGUCAGAUCGUUGCUGGCUUCAUAUAUGUACCUGUACGC